RNAcentral lists this long non-coding RNA (1219 nucleotides) under Sus scrofa (pig). Its description in RNAcentral is "lncRNA (ENSSSCG00015062571.1)". Lineage: Eukaryota; Metazoa; Chordata; Mammalia; Artiodactyla; Suidae. The record is from RNAcentral.
UUCUAGAUGAGUAAGGACAUUUUAAAAGAUGAAAAUUAAUGUGCUGAAGUCUGAGGCAAAACAUAAGGGGUAAGGAUAGCCCAUAACAUUUUGAGAAAGGACAAGGUCAGCCAUGUGAAUUAACAAGGUAGAGAUUUAUGAUGAAGCAUUAAACUUGGCAGGCAAAUAGACUACCUGGAAUCUAUGAUGGUCAAAGGCAGCAGUACUAGGGACUGAUUCAAGACUGAAGGUCUAGUAACUGAAUUAUUGAAUCUAAAUCAAUUCUGAAAAUACCAACGUUGUCAUACUGUGAAAUUACUUUUCUAAAGUUAUUGGAGGCAAGUUUCUCUCUGCUCUGUUAAAGUUUAAACAUAGCUUUCAGAAAAAGAAAAUGAAGAAUAUAUCCUGAGUUUAAUCCCUUACCUAAGACCUAGCUGGUAAUCAUAAUUCUAGGUGGUUAAGGACCAUUGAUACUAAACAUAAAUAAUUUACAUUAUAAUCUUAAAAAAUAUUCCAGGGUUAUUAAAGACAAACUGGACUUGAAUAUAUUCAGUUGAAAAUGUGAUUUAGCUAACAAUAAAAUUAGUAAAACAGAAUCAAUAGUAGAAUAUUCAAUAUUCAUAUAUUAGGAUAGAAAAAUACAAAGAUUCAUAAAUGUGUUUCAGUUUGAAGACAGAAAGUGAGCUGUCACACUCCACAGUACCAGCACCCUUCAUAUAUAUUGGAAACCGUCUUGAGUGAUUAAUUUCAAGCACCUUGGAUCAGCGAGAUGCCACAAGGCAAUAUGAAUUAGCAACUGUGGCCUUAUUUAACACCACCUUCAACCAAGGACUUAACUGCCUCUUAAACAAGACCCCUGCCAAAUCUUCAUGUGGAUUCUACACAAAAGGAAGAAUCAGAUUCAAAAUAAGACAUUAACUGCGAAAUCCAAAAUGGCUGCGCUUACCCUAUUGAUAAAAACAGGUGAGUCUCCAAAAGAUAUAAUCAAUCUUCACAUUUAUUUUAAGUAGUAAAUAAUAUAAAUAAGUAUUGUUAUUCUGAGUGGCAAUUUAAUGCAUGUAUUCGAUUAACAAUUAUAACUUCUGUACAUCCUAAAUGCUUAUGUAGCUUUGUACUUUUUUCUUUUUUUUUUUUUUUUUGCGUGGGGUUAGUUCUCCAUUACAUAAAAAGAGAAUGAAUCAACAUUUUAUUGUGGAACCUGGGAAUCAAAUUUUAAGACUAGAAGGAGGAGAACUUCCUA